RNAcentral lists this microRNA (23 nucleotides) under Tribolium castaneum (red flour beetle). RNAcentral's name for it is "Tca-Mir-92-P14_5p* (star (passenger))". The record is from RNAcentral. Lineage: Eukaryota; Metazoa; Arthropoda; Insecta; Coleoptera; Tenebrionidae.
GGGUCGUGAUUUGUGCAAAUAUG